CCUACGGGGGGCAGCAGCGAGGGAUUUUCGGCAAUGGGCGGAAGCCUGACCGAGCAACGCCGCGUGCGGGAUGACGCCCUUCGGGGUGUAAACCGCUUUUCGGUGGGACGUGGUACCACCGGAAUAAGCCUCGGCUAACUACGUGCCAGCAGCCGCGGUAAGACGUAGGAGGCGAGCGUUGUCCGGAUUUACUGGGCGUAAAGCGCGCGCAGGCGGUCCCCCAGGUCAUCUGUCAAAGCACCCGGCUCAACCGGGCUGACGCGGGUGAAACCGGGGGACUUGAGGGCGGUAGAGGGUGGUGGAAUUCCCGGUGUAGUGGUGAAAUGCGUAGAGAUCGGGAGGAACACCCGUAGCGAAGGCGGCCACCUGGGCGACCUGACGCUGAGGCGCGAAGGCCAGGGGAGCGAACGGGAUUAGAUACCCUUGUAGUC
RNAcentral lists this ribosomal RNA (431 nucleotides) under uncultured bacterium. RNAcentral's name for it is "partial 16S ribosomal RNA". It matches the Rfam family "Bacterial small subunit ribosomal RNA", at positions 338 to 795 of the family's 1533-position model. The record is from RNAcentral.